Molecule: long non-coding RNA, 238 nt
Organism: Gordionus sp. m RMFG-2023
Lineage: Eukaryota; Metazoa; Nematomorpha; Gordioida; Chordodea; Parachordodidae
Exons: 4
Source: RefSeq, a predicted model, not a curated record
UUUUGAGUAAAUUCUAGUCAACAAAUCAAGAAAUAUGCCAAACAAAGACGAAUCACACGCUCAUGGAAUGGGACAAGCCGGAAAGAAUCCUAAGGCCGGAGCAGCUGGUGCUCAAUCAGGAGCCGCUCACGCUGGGGCUCCCCAAGCCGGAAAAAAUCAAGCUAGCUGUGGAGCCGGAAACGCCGGAAAGCAAUGCAACUAAAUUUCGAUUUAAUUUGGGAGUUCAUCAACAUAAUCG